RNAcentral lists this ribosomal RNA (731 nucleotides) under uncultured bacterium. RNAcentral describes it as "bacterial SSU rRNA". It matches the Rfam family "Bacterial small subunit ribosomal RNA", at positions 48 to 774 of the family's 1533-position model. The record is from RNAcentral.
CUUACACAUGCAGUCGAGCGGGGGAGGUUGCUUCGGUAACUGACCUAGCGGCGGACGGGUGAGUAAUGCUUAGGAAUCUGCCUAUUAGUGGGGGACAACAUUCCGAAAGGAAUGCUAAUACCGCAUACGCCCUACGGGGGAAAGCAGGGGAUCUUCGGACCUUGCGCUAAUAGAUGAGCCUAAGUCGGAUUAGCUAGUUGGUGGGGUAAAGGCCUACCAAGGCGACGAUCUGUAGCGGGUCUGAGAGGAUGAUCCGCCACACUGGGACUGAGACACGGCCCAGACUCCUACGGGAGGCAGCAGUGGGGAAUAUUGGACAAUGGGGGGAACCCUGAUCCAGCCAUGCCGCGUGUGUGAAGAAGGCCUUUUGGUUGUAAAGCACUUUAAGCGAGGAGGAGGCUACCGAGAUUAAUACUCUUGGAUAGUGGACGUUACUCGCAGAAUAAGCACCGGCUAACUCUGUGCCAGCAGCCGCGGUAAUACAGAGGGUGCAAGCGUUAAUCGGAUUUACUGGGCGUAAAGCGCGCGUAGGUGGCCAAUUAAGUCAAAUGUGAAAUCCCCGAGCUUAACUUGGGAAUUGCAUUCGAUACUGGUUGGCUAGAGUAUGGGAGAGGAUGGUAGAAUUCCAGGUGUAGCGGUGAAAUGCGUAGAGAUCUGGAGGAAUACCGAUGGCGAAAGCAGCCAUCUGGCCUAAUACUGACACUGAGGUGCGAAAGCAUGGGGAGCAAACA